Molecule: long non-coding RNA, 1109 nt
Filed under: Equus asinus (donkey)
Lineage: Eukaryota; Metazoa; Chordata; Mammalia; Perissodactyla; Equidae
Description: lncRNA (ENSEASG00005030914.1, ENSEASG00020020180.1)
Source: RNAcentral
GAGAUGAGAGGAAGACUGCAGCCAGCAGUCAGACCACCAGACCACGUCUGUAGACUGCAUCGGUCACUGUGGCUGUGGGAUUAGGACUGACACCAAACCCCCGUGGUUUCAGCCCGUGUGGUCCUCUCCUGCCCGACCCUUCCGAGCACUGGCCCCAGACCUCCGUGGUCCACGCGUCCGCAGCCCGCAGGCUGUCACGGGAUGAAAUACAUGUCAGCUUCCCUGGCCCUCGGACCUUGGUGUUUCCUUCCGGCUUGACGGUUUGGAGGACACCUCCUGCUGCGGGAGGGCAGAGCGGGAGAUCCAGGAACAACCCAGCAGCCCCAGCCAGGGCUCAGGCCUGCAGAGACCUGCCCGCCCCGCCAGUCCCUGCAGGGGACCCAGGUCUGUGGGACUAGGGGCCAUGCCAGCAGGCCAGCCAUGAGUGGGGUCGCUCUGCCAUCCAGUGUCCUGAUGACGGCUCUGUGACAUGCAGAGUGGCUUCCCUCCUCUCUCACAGGGCCCCUGAUUGUCACCUUGGUAGCUUCUUCCCAAGUGCCCUCAGCUGCAGUCAGCGUUAGAAGAUUGGUUAUGGAUUAUUUUCGUCGACAUUGGUGAGCCAGGAGCCUGGUGGAGAUUGGAAGAGGAGAGAGCAGUGGGAUUUGACCCGCCACCACCUCCUGCAGGGUCCCCUGGGACAGUCCCUGUCCCCCCACUUCCCAUCGCUUCUCUGGGGCAGUGUCCCCAUGGCCCUCUCACCCCCUUUGCAGCCUGGGCGGUAGGUCGCUCGUGACCCUGCAGCCAGCCCUGGAGGCACUGUGUGUGUCUCUGGUUUCCCGGGGUCCUGCCUACCCCUCUCCAAAUGGUGCUCAGAGGCCACUCUCUCCUGGUUUUCUGACUUGGGUGGUCAUCUGUUUCUGUUGGGAGCCUGAUUGAGACACUGCCUCUGCCUGACUCUCGAGGUGGGGGAGGGACUCCAUCGGCCACCCUCUCAGCCCUUCCCCAGGCAGAGGACAAACUGACACCCCCUGACCCCGCCCACGAACUCUUGGGGAGAGUGGACCUGAGCUAGGCCCUGCACAGAGAGUGACACUGCAGAGAAGGAUGUGUAGCCUUCCCCAGCUGGCCUG